RNAcentral lists this ribosomal RNA (507 nucleotides) under uncultured Glomeraceae. RNAcentral's name for it is "SSU rRNA". It matches the Rfam family "Eukaryotic small subunit ribosomal RNA", at positions 569 to 1079 of the family's 1831-position model. The record is from RNAcentral. Lineage: Eukaryota; Fungi; Glomeromycota; Glomeromycetes; Glomerales; Glomeraceae.
AGCAGCCGCGGUAAUUCCAGCUCCAAUAGCGUAUAUUAAAGUUGUUGCAGUUGAAAAGCUCGUAGUUGAAUUUCGGGGUCAGUAGGUCGGUCGUGCCACUGGUAUGAACUGGUUUUACUGAUUCCUCCCUCUUGAAGAACUGUAAUGCCAUUAAUUUGGUGUUGCAGGGAAUCAGGACUGUUACUUUGAAAAAAUUGAGUGUUUAAAGCAAGGCUUUAGCUUGAAUACAUUAGCAUGGAAUAAUGAAAUAGGACGUUUGAUCCUAUUUUGUUGGUUUCUAGGAUUGACGUAAUGAUUAAUAGGGAUAGUUGGGGCAUUAGUAUUCAAUUGUCAGAGGUGAAAUUCUUGGAUUUAUUGGAGACUAACUACUGCGAAAGCAUUUGCCAAGGAUGUUUUCAUUAAUCAAGAACGAAAGUUAGGGAAUCGAAGACGAUCAGAUACCGUCGUAGUCUUAACCAUAAACUAUAGACCGACUAGGGAUCGGAUGAUGUUAAUUUUUAUGUACUU